ACCUAUGGGAUUGUGGCCCAGGCUCACGCUCAUGAAGGUUCUAUCUUCGCCUUGUGUCUCCGGAGGGACGGGACAGUGCUGAGUGGUGGCGGGCGGGACCGCCGGCUGGUACAGUGGGGGCCCGGGUUGGUGGCCCUCCAGGAGGCUGAGAUUCCCGAGCACUUUGGGGCCGUGCGAGCCAUUGCUGAAGGGCUUGGCUCUGAGCUGCUGGUGGGAACCACGAAGAAUGCAUUGCUGAGGGGAGAUCUGGCCCAGGGCUUCUCUCCUGUAAUCCAGGGCCACACUGAUGAGCUCUGGGGGCUCUGCACACACCCCUCCCAGAACCGCUUCCUCACCUGCGGCCACGACCGGCAGCUCUGCCUGUGGGAUGGGGAGAGCCAUGCACUGGCCUGGAGCAUCGACCUCAAGGAGACUGGUCUCUGUGCUGACUUCCACCCGAGUGGGGCAGUUGUGGCCGUAGGACUGAACACGGGGAGGUGGUUGGUUUUGGACACAGAGACCAGAGAGAUCGUGUCUGAUGUCAUUGAUGGCAAUGAGCAGCUCUCAGUGGUCCGGUACAGCCCAGGUGGGAGCCACCCCAACCCUGGACUCACAUGCGUCCCUGGCCCUUCCCUCUCUGAGUGACUGUAUUUGCAGAUGGGUUGUACCUGGCCAUUGGUUCCCAUGACAACGUGAUCUACAUCUAUAGUGUUUCCAGUGAUGGUGCCAAAUCCAGCCGCUUUGGCCGCUGUAUGGGUCACUCCAGCUUCAUCACUCAUCUUGACUGGUCCAAGGAUGGGAAUUUCAUCAUGUCCAAUUCUGGGGACUAUGAGAUUCUUUACUGGGACGUGGCUGGAGGCUGCAAGCAGCUGAAGAAUCGCUAUGAGAGCCGAGACCGGGAAUGGGCUACCUACACCUGUGUGCUGGGUUUUCACGUCUACGGUGAGCAGGGGCGUGGAACCCUGCUGGAAGGGUGGGGGACAAGGUGGAGCCCAGUUUGGGCUUGGAACGCUGGGCGUGUGUCGUUGGGUGAGAGUCCAGAAACCUGAAGAUCCAGCCCAGGAGGCCCCUCCGGCCCUCGGGACCGGGAAGGCUUGCCUGGAACGCGGCAGUGGGUGGCCGCGGCUGCCGGAGCGCCUGAAAUGGUGUAGCUCUGGGCCGUGGGUGGCGGUGGGUAGGAGGUCGGGCUGAGGCCGGCCGCUGUGCUAGGCGUCUGGCCGGACGGCUCCGAUGGGACCGACAUCAACUCCCUGUGCCGCUCCCACAACGAGCGCGUGGUGGCGGUGGCCGACGACUUCUGCAAAGUGCAUCUCUUCCAGUACCCGUGCGCUCGUGCCAAGGUGAGGCCGCGGGGAUCGCCGGGGUGGGACCGGUGGGCCCGAGGGCUCAGCCGCCACCGCAACUCUUCCCUCCGGCCCAGGCGCCGAGCCGCAUGUACGGGGGCCACGGCAGCCACGUGACCAGCGUCCGAUUCACGCACGACGACUCGCACCUCGUCUCGCUGGGCGGCAAGGACGCCAGCAUCUUCCAGUGGCGAGUGCUGGGCGCUGGGGGCGCGGGGCCGGCGCCCGCCACGCCCUCUCGAACCCCCUCCCUGUCCCCCGCCUCCUCCCUCGACGUUUGAUCGCUGCCUGGCGGGACCGACUGGCCCGGCGGCGUGGCCCCGCCCCGCCCUGCCCUUCCCUGCCCUAAUCCCCCACGACUAGGGGCCGACUCUUUCCUCGACUGACUUCGAGACAUUCCCGAUCGCGCAUUUCCCUGGAGGGCGCGAACGGCGCCCCUGCACACACUGUUUAGACCCGCUGGCUGAGCCGGGCAGCCCCAGCCUAGGCCUUGACUCCCGCUGCCUGCUGAGGGGCAAUAAACCAGAACCAAAGUC
This 1858-nucleotide small RNA is filed under the name Pan troglodytes (chimpanzee). RNAcentral describes it as "retained intron". Lineage: Eukaryota; Metazoa; Chordata; Mammalia; Primates; Hominidae. The record is from RNAcentral.